RNAcentral lists this long non-coding RNA (2057 nucleotides) under Oryzias javanicus (javanese ricefish). Its description in RNAcentral is "lncRNA (ENSOJAG00000006403.1)". Lineage: Eukaryota; Metazoa; Chordata; Actinopteri; Beloniformes; Adrianichthyidae. The record is from RNAcentral.
AUGUCCACCCACCUGCCAUACCGACAGGACUCGUACCACUGUGAACACUGCCGCAGGCUGGAGCUGCACGCCGUGCAACAUUGUUUCAGAAAAUGCACCGGGCUGAUCGAGCAAAAAUGUAAACUUCUGAUCGACGGGGUUUUGGGAACGUUGGUGAUCUUCCUGGUGCUGGAACUGCUGAUCUGCAUCACCACCAUGCUGUUUGAGCUCAGUGUCUUAGCUGCAGGUGGAAAACAGCGGACUUCCAGUCAGAGACCUGCCUACCCACAGACUCGGCCCCCACCAGCUCCAGCUGUGCAAGUUGUUCAGGCCUCCCCGGCAGAACCUGAGCCAUCCCAGGUGGCUGUUGUGGUGACUGAGGUUGAUCCAGAGCACAUAGAGGACAUCUCCACACCAAUAACUGAACCUCAAGUGGAGCCGAUAUAAACUGUCUCCAGAGAGUAAAAAUGGAUGUUUCACAGAGGAAAAUCACUUUGAAUUUUACUAAUAGUUUAAGUUGGACUCUUGUUUGUAAAAAGUAACUGUAGAUGGCAGCAUUCUGAGGCACUUUUCACACAUUCAGUCUGUUGUUGUGAUGCACUCAGAACUUUCUUUGAAGAAAAAAAAGCAGUUGAGGGGAAGUCUGGUAUAUACACUUAUGUGUAAAUUGAUUGUUUCAGUCUAAUCUAUGUGUAUGUAGAUAAAAAUGGCAGUAAUAGGACUAAGCAUUAUUCAAGAACAGCUUCAGGUGGGCUUUUUUUGCUUGCUCUCUUCAGGGGUCACCACAGUGAAUAAUCCUCCCAGUAUCUCACGUGCUAUAAAAAAGGCCACUACAACAGCAACUCAAUGAUAGAAGCUCAGAGAUUCACUUUCUAACACAUACAUUUCAAGAUAUCCAUCUCUCACAUAAGCAGGACUGGACUUGGACAACACCAUUCUAAAUCAAUAGAGGUGUGACGGUUUGUGUUUACGAUUUGAUUCACAUCAUAAUUUGUGGUUGCCGAUACAAUUCACUUUCAGUUUAUUUUGAAUGAUCAGAUUUAUUCUGAUUCAGCAACCUAAAAUCGAUUCAGGAAAUCUUUAGCCAAAAAUUCACCCAGUGUGACACAGAGAUAAAUGCCUGGUACUGAACAUUACAGGUUGAGUUUUACAGAUUUCUUGUAUUUCUUGCGAGGAAAUCUUGUUGUGCACAAAUUUAAUGUGCGUACAAACAAACAAGAAUUCAUGGAAAAUCCGUUCACAUUGUGUUUUUCCAACACAAAAAUGAUACAAAGGGAGCAUUAUUAGAACAUUCUACCGCACUGUAUGGUCAGAUGUCUUUUCCAAAAUUCAAAGUGUUUCCACACGUUGGACUGAAUGAUGGAUUGAUCAUUUUUUACAUCCAUCACACAUGUAUUGUGUCUGCUGUGAUGGCACUUGGUUGUUAUUAUGUUAUAGUAAAAUAAACUUACCAUGUCUCGAACCAAAUGAUAUUUUCCAAAAUCGAUUAUCAAUUUAUCUCAUUUUGAAAAGAUUUUUUAAUGGUUUACAUUGAUUUGAUUUGACUCUGCCUCAGACAGAUCGAUCUGGUUGGAUCAUUGGAUUAGAAAUGGAUUUAUUGAUUCAUUGACUAACUGUUACCCCAUUGUAAAUCAAUAAUACCAAUGCCUUUUCCUCUGAAGUAAGAACACGAUUAAACACUACUGAGAAGCCAAACUGAUCCAACUUUUGAUUGUAUGCAAAUCUGUUGAUAAGUUUGCUGAUUGUUUCACCUGUUCUGUCAAAAUAAAGACAAACAAAUACAUCUCAACUUUUAACAUGUCAAACUAUGAAUGAAAAAAUGUCUGUUCACUGCUGUAGAAAAGCUUUCACCCACACAUGGUGCCCUGUAUGUAUUCAUAAUCAAGUCUUACUGUGCAAAGAGGAAGAAAGAAACAUUUUUGUAGCUGUGAGUUGUAUAGUACCCCUAAAAGGACUUGGAAAUAAAAAAAAGAAAAAAAGUACUGAUUUCUCUUGUGCAUGAGAAAGUAUCUGGUGCUCCUUCUUGUUCUACCACAAGUGCUGGUAUGUAAAUGUUCAGUUAUAAAGAAAUUUUGAAC